This is a long non-coding RNA of Rosa rugosa (rugosa rose), 2024 nucleotides long. RefSeq lists it as uncharacterized. Lineage: Eukaryota; Viridiplantae; Streptophyta; Magnoliopsida; Rosales; Rosaceae. The record is from RefSeq and is a predicted model, not a curated record. The transcript has 8 exons.
CCCCCCCCCCCCAUCCUUUAUCACGACUAUUCUCUGUGCAUCCAAUUUCACAACGAAAAAAGAAAACCCUUGAUUUUUGGGGAAAAUCAGAAUGAAUGUCAAGGACAUCUUGGGUUUGCUCAAAACCAUGCAUCCCUUGUAGCGGGAGAAGAAAUCGCGGCUGAGUUCCAUUCGGAUUUUGGCGUAGUUCCGUGGACGCACGAUCUCUUUGGCUCUCUCCUUGACUGACUCACUCCCUCAUGGAUUUCUGGGUUGAAGAUAUUGGAAUUUGUCUCGAGCUUUUGGUCAACUGGUCUUGCUCUUGGACUCUUGGUUCGAUUCAAAAAUCUUCAAGCUUGAGAUUAGUUCAGCACUAACCAACUCAGUAUCUGACAUUUGAGAAGUUGAGCAUUGGGAAAAUCAAGUUCAAGGCUUUUGAUUUGGGUGGGCAUCAGAUUGCUUGCAGAUUUUGGACAGAUUACUAUGCUAAGGUAUUAUAGACGAUAUAAUGUAAGAUGAUGUAGUGAUUGGCAAUUGGUUAUUUGCGUAUAUGAACUGUUUGAGCUUUUGUUAUGACAGAAUUAUGCAAAAACAGAGGAGAUGCUCAUGCUUUACCUUCAUUGUUUAAGAUUCCUCAUCCUUUUUGAUACCUCGAUUUAUAUAUGCUUGAUUUGUAAUUCAAGAGAAAGCCUUUUCAACUCAAGAGGAAUUGUAAUUCUAUGUUUUAUGAUUUGUGAUGGUAUUACCUACACUCUGCCAGUAAGUAAACAAAGUUUGAUCGAAAAGUUAUGCAUAUAUUAUCUUAUUCUUUAAGAAAUCUAAAGUAACAAAAUUGGAGAAGUUGCAUGUUGCAUGAUUUGAAAAUAUAGUUUUCUGAUAUCAGCUAGGUUUUGAAUACAAAUAUGAUGGAUCAGUGUUUCAACAGAAUUGUUGGUGCUAUUGGUCCUUUGUUUCCUGGGGAGAAAUUUAUUGCACUUCAUGGAUGCAGUUCAGUAUUUCUGGAAAUUUGGGAAUUUGAGGAUGAGUGCAGUCAUUCUGUAUUUUCUUCUGUGUGUAGUAAACAAAUGAGCAAAUGUCAUCAGACUUGCAUUGUUAUAUAAUAUACUUAUAAUACAAGUUAAUAUUUCUAGAUAACUAGACUUCCAUUUUGUACAGAUUAACUAAACUGAACUAACAUAGUAUAUCACUAUGUAUCGAUCUGUUUAGCUUAUCAAAUCGUACACAUAGGGUUUGUAUUCUGUGAAUUUUAACAUUUGCUCCCAAUGUUUUGCUAUCAAAUCCAAUUAUUUACGUUUUUGAUGUGUUAUGUGAGGAUUUGAUUUGCGUGAAGUUGUAGAAAAAUACUGCAUAUAUAAUGAUUCCGUCUGUUCUCUUUUCAUCAAUUUGAAGUCAAAUUGUUGUUCAAUAUCUAGGAAUAGUACAAGCAAAAAUUGAAAUUUUUGGGCUGCAAUGUUUGAUGUUGCUGAAGUUGGCAUUUUACUAGAUUGAAGUGUCCUUGCAGGGGAUAAUUUUAGCAUUAUUGUUUACGUUUGUUCUUUGAAGGGAAAUUGGCCAAACCCCCGCAGUUGCACAAUUCACAGUGAAGAAUGAUGUGUCCCGCUGAGACACUUGAAGGGCAGCAAAGCAUUGAUGGUCUACAUAACUGUGGGAUCAGCUGCAUAUCCAAUCUUAGAAUUUUUAGAAGAACGAGGUACAUAAAAUUUUGAGGAUUUUUUUCCCUACUGUUAUUCCCCAAGCCACACAGAUUUUUGUUAAUGGCUGCUGGGUAAUUGGCAUACAUCGUGAUCCUGAAAUGUUGGUGAGAACAUUAAGGAAGCUAAGGCGGGAACACCAUGAAGACGGUGGUUGGCAUGAUCUUGUAGCAAAAGGAUUUAUAGAAUAUAUUGAUACUGAAGAAGAGGAGACCACUAUGAUUUAGAUGACAAUUAAUGAUCUUGUACAAGCAAGGCUCAAUCCUGAGGAGGCAAAUUCUGACACUUAUGCUCAUUGCAAAAUUCACUCGUCACUUAUAUUGAGUGUUUGUGCUUCAAUUAUACCAUUUCCUG